UGCAGCCUUGUCAAAUUCAGUGUUCGCCCCUCAAUGGCAGGCACUGGUCCAGCUGGCUGCCACACCAUCAUUGCAGCUCAUGGGCCCCACAAUCCUCCUCUUGGACCCUGGGGAUAAAAUCCUGCUGCAGACACCU
Small nucleolar RNA from Alligator mississippiensis (American alligator), 136 nucleotides. It matches the Rfam family "Small nucleolar RNA SNORA5". Rfam says of the family: ACA5 is a member of the H/ACA class of snoRNA that guide the sites of modification of uridines to pseudouridines. The record is from Rfam. Lineage: Eukaryota; Metazoa; Chordata; Crocodylia; Alligatoridae.